GAUGAACGCUGGCGGCGUGCCUAAUACAUGCAAGUCGAGCGAACAGAUGAGGAGCUUGCUCCUCUGACGUUAGCGGCGGACGUGUGAGUAACACGUGGAUAACCUACCUAUAAGACUGGGAUAACUUCGGUAAACCGUAGCUAAUACCGGAUAAUAUAUUGAACCGCAUGGUUCAAUAGUGAAAGACGGUUUUGCUGUCACUUAUAGAUGGAUCCGCGCCGCAUUAGCUAGUUGGUAAGGUAACGGCUUACCAAGGCAACGAUGCGUAGCCGACCUGAGAGGGUGAUCGGCCACACUGGAACUGAGACACGGUCCAGACUCCUACGGGAGGCAGCAGUAGGGAAUCUUCCGCAAUGGGCGAAAGCCUGACGGAGCAACGCCGCGUGAGUGAUGAAGGUCUUCGGAUCGUAAAACUCUGUUAUUAGGGAAGAACAAAUGUGUAAGUAACUAUGCACGUCUUGACGGUACCUAAUCAGAAAGCCACGGCUAACUACGUG
This 497-nucleotide ribosomal RNA is filed under the name uncultured bacterium. RNAcentral's name for it is "partial 16S ribosomal RNA". It matches the Rfam family "Bacterial small subunit ribosomal RNA", at positions 28 to 507 of the family's 1533-position model. The record is from RNAcentral.